CCAGGUGUAGUUUAACGGUAAAAUACGUGCUUUGGGAGCAUGGGUCGGAUGUUCAACUCAUCUCACUUGGACCA
This 74-nucleotide transfer RNA is filed under the name Caudoviricetes sp. RNAcentral's name for it is "tRNA-Pro". It matches the Rfam family "tRNA". Rfam says of the family: Transfer RNA (tRNA) molecules are approximately 80 nucleotides in length. Lineage: Duplodnaviria; Heunggongvirae; Uroviricota; Caudoviricetes. The record is from RNAcentral.